RNAcentral lists this ribosomal RNA (460 nucleotides) under uncultured bacterium. RNAcentral's name for it is "partial 16S ribosomal RNA". It matches the Rfam family "Bacterial small subunit ribosomal RNA", at positions 338 to 795 of the family's 1533-position model. The record is from RNAcentral.
CCUACGGGAGGCAGCAGUGAGGAAUAUUGGUCAAUGGGCGGGAGCCUGAACCAGCCCAGUCGCGUGAGGGAAGACGGUCCUAUGGAUUGUAAACCUCUUUAGGCGGGGAGCAAUGCCGGGCACGCGUGCCCGGAGGGAGAGUACCCGCAGAAUAAGCAUCGGCUAACUCCGUGCCAGCAGCCGCGGUAAUACGGAGGAUGCGAGCGUUAUCCGGAUUGAUUGGGUUUAAAGGGUGCGUAGGCGGAUUUUUAAGUCAGCGGUAAAAUGUCCGGGCUCAACCCGGGCCGGCCGUUGAAACUGGGGAUCUUGAGUGGGCGAGAAGUAUGCGGAAUGCGUGGUGUAGCGGUGAAAUGCAUAGAUAUCACGCAGAACUCCGAUUGCGAAGGCAGCAUACCGGCGCCCGACUGACGCUGAGGCACGAAAGCGUGGGGAUCGAACAGGAUUAGAUACCCCAGUAGUC